UACGUAGGGGGCGAGCGUUGUCCGGAUUUAUUGGGCGUAAAGAGCUCGUAGGCGGUUUGGUAAGUCGGGUGUGAAAUCUCCAGGCUCAACCUGGAGAUGUCACCCGAGACUGCCAUGACUAGAGUCCGGUAGGGGUGUGUGGAAUUCCUGGUGGAGCGGUGAAAUGCGCAGAUAUCAGGAGGAACACCCGUAGUGAAGGCGGCACACUGGGCCGGUACUGACGCUGAGGAGCGAAAGCGUGGGGAGCAAACAGG
RNAcentral lists this ribosomal RNA (254 nucleotides) under uncultured bacterium. Its description in RNAcentral is "partial 16S ribosomal RNA". It matches the Rfam family "Bacterial small subunit ribosomal RNA", at positions 524 to 776 of the family's 1533-position model. The record is from RNAcentral.